CCGACCUGAGAGGGUGACCGGCCACAUUGGGACUGAGAUACGGCCCAGACUCCUACGGGAGGCAGCAGCUGAGAAUCUUCCACAAUGGACGAAAGUCUGAUGGAGCGACAUCGCGUGAGGGAUGAAGGCCUUCGGGUUGUAAACCUCGGAAAUUAUCGAAGAAUGAGUGACAGUAGAUAAUGUAAGCCUCGGCUAACUACGUGCCAGAGCCGCGGCCGA
Molecule: ribosomal RNA, 219 nt
Filed under: uncultured actinomycete
Lineage: Bacteria; Bacillati; Actinomycetota; Actinomycetes; Actinomycetales
Description: partial 16S ribosomal RNA
Rfam family: Bacterial small subunit ribosomal RNA
Source: RNAcentral